Stegostoma tigrinum is the source of this 1032-nucleotide long non-coding RNA. RefSeq lists it as uncharacterized. The transcript is spliced from 4 exons. Lineage: Eukaryota; Metazoa; Chordata; Chondrichthyes; Orectolobiformes; Stegostomatidae. The record is from RefSeq and is a predicted model, not a curated record.
AACAAACCGACAGCAAUGGCAGAUAUCAGAACGUGUGGUAUUAUCCCUCUAAACUUGCGGAACUGACAAUUAAGUCAAUAAAAGGGCGAAUCCCUCAAAAGGUGGGACCUCCAGUUGGUGCCGAAAUGGUGAAUCUGCAAGAAAAUGGUGAAAACCGACUUCGAUAACCCUGGGUUGAUGAACCAGACUGGAACGCCUAGCUAGAUAGUUCUCCAGACAAACGCAUAUUGGAGAGCAAGGAGACAGAUACGAACAGGGUUCAAGAGUGAUGCCCUCUACAGCCGAAUUGCGUAGUGAAGUUAGUUACGGCUCGUACAUAGAAGACACCUCAAAAGCCGCAUCACGGCGCGGAACGAAAACACAGGCACAUACAAAACGUGUACACAGAAGAGAACGUGCGAGUGAGUUUGUGUUUCGGUUCUGAAGAGGUGAAGGCAGCAGAAGAGGAAAACGGGUGAGGAGGGAAGAAAAAACACAGAAACGGCCAGAAUAACAGGAUUGAGACAACGUAGACUGAUGGAAUUAAGCCAAGAGAUGCUGAGUGAGAGAUAUCUUCUGGCCUGUUGGGGACGAUGGUGUCUCUGGCUAGGCAGCAUUUACUGCCCAUCCCUAAUUGCCCAGAGGACAGCAGUUAAGAGAUAACCAAUUUCCUGUGGGUCUGGAGUCACAUGUAAGCCGGACCAGAUUUUUGUUCAAUCCAAUUCUACUAUUUGCUAUGAUGGGAUUCAAACUCAUUUCCUCAGAACAUUCGCCUGGGUUUUGGGAUUGCUAAUCCAGUGAUACCAGCACUACAACAUGGCAUCCCCUCUGAAUAAAGCGGAAACUCUGAACUCUCUGAUGGGGUGGAAUAUAAUGCAGUUUUGGACAAUGAGACAAUCCAGGCAGGCAGUAAUUGGAAUCUGGCACAAACUUCUGAAGAAGACCUGUCUUUACCUAUUAACAAUUAUUAUAAUAAUUAACAAUAAUUGAUAUGUUUAAGAGUCAAUGUAACCUGUUCUGAGAUGUAAUAACCUGAUUUAUUUUGUGUAAAAU